AGUGAACGCUGGCGGUAGGCCUAACACAUGCAAGUCGAACGGCAGCACAGGAGAGCUUGCUCUCUGGGUGGCGAGUGGCGGACGGGUGAGGAAUACAUCGGAAUCUACUUUUUCGUGGGGGAUAACGUAGGGAAACUUACGCUAAUACCGCAUACGACCUACGGGUGAAAGCAGGGGAUCUUCGGACCUUGCGCGAUUGAAUGAGCCGAUGUCGGAUUAGCUAGUUGGCGGGGUAAAGGCCCACCAAGGCGACGAUCCGUAGCUGGUCUGAGGGUGUGAUCAGCGACACUGGAACUGAGACACGGUCCAGACUCCUACGGGAGGCGGCAGUGGGGAAUAGUGGACAAUGGGCGCAAGCCUGAACCAGCCAUACCGCGUGGGUGAAGAAGGCCUUCGGGUUGUAAAGCCCUUUUGUUGGGAAAGAAAUCCAGCUGGUUAAUACCCGGUUGGGAUGACGGUACCCAAAGAAUAAGCACCGGCUAACUUCGUGCCAGCCGCCGCCGUAA
RNAcentral lists this ribosomal RNA (506 nucleotides) under uncultured bacterium. Its description in RNAcentral is "partial 16S ribosomal RNA". It matches the Rfam family "Bacterial small subunit ribosomal RNA", at positions 29 to 523 of the family's 1533-position model. The record is from RNAcentral.